This is a long non-coding RNA of Brassica rapa (field mustard), 332 nucleotides long. RefSeq lists it as uncharacterized. Lineage: Eukaryota; Viridiplantae; Streptophyta; Magnoliopsida; Brassicales; Brassicaceae. The record is from RefSeq and is a predicted model, not a curated record.
GACAUCAUUGGUGAGGUUUCUGAUAUCAGGACAACGUACAAUGAUCACGCUCAGACAACUCAGCGAGUGAUGGUUACUAUCAAAGUAUAUAACGAUGCAACUGUGUGCGUCAGUGUUUUCGACAGUGUAGCUGAGCUACUCCACAAGAGGCUGGAGGCUGGUGUUGUCCAACCUAGAGUGAUGGUGGCUACGAACAUCAAUCCUAAGUUUGUAGGAGGUCGACUUUAUCUCAAUGCUAUCUCUGGGACUCAUUUUUAUUUUGACGUGACGGCAAGCCGGACUCUAUUUUGACGUUGUCUUCCAAACCCGACAAUGACUCCACAAGUGGGAAG